This 492-nucleotide ribosomal RNA is filed under the name uncultured bacterium. RNAcentral's name for it is "partial 16S ribosomal RNA". It matches the Rfam family "Bacterial small subunit ribosomal RNA", at positions 29 to 507 of the family's 1533-position model. The record is from RNAcentral.
AGUGAACGCUGGCGGUAGGCCUAACACAUGCAAGUCGAACGGCAGCACAGUAAGAGCUUGCUCUUACGGGUGGCGAGUGGCGGACGGGUGAGGAAUACAUCGGAAUCUACUUUUUCGUGGGGGAUAUCGUAGGGAAACUUACGCUAAUACCGCAUACGACCUACGGGUGAAAGCAGGGGAUCUUCGGACCUUGCGCGAUUGAAUGAGCCGAUGUCGGAUUAGCUAGUUGGCGGGGUAAAGGCCCACCAAGGCGACGAUCCGUAGCUGGUCUGAGAGGAUGAUCAGCCACACUGGAACUGAGACACGGUCCAGACUCCUAUGGGAGGCAGCAGUGGGGAAUAUUGGACAAUGGGCGCAAGCCUGAUCCAGCCAUACCGCGUGGGUGAAGAAGGCCUUCGGGUUGUAAAGCCCUUUUGUUGGGAAAGAAAAGCAGCAGGUUAAUACCCCGCUGUUCUGACGGUACCCAAAGAAUAAGCACCGGCUAACUUCGUG